This 480-nucleotide ribosomal RNA is filed under the name uncultured bacterium. RNAcentral describes it as "bacterial SSU rRNA". It matches the Rfam family "Bacterial small subunit ribosomal RNA", at positions 28 to 525 of the family's 1533-position model. The record is from RNAcentral.
GACGAACGCUGGCGGCGUGCUUAACACAUGCAAGUCGAACGGUGACGAGGAGCUUGCUCCUCUGAUCAGUGGCGAACGGGUGAGUAACACGUGAGUAACCUGCCCCAGACUCUGGAAUAACAGUUGGAAACAGCUGCUAAUACCGGAUACGAGACGGAGAGGCAUCUCUACCGUCUGGAAAGUUUUUCGGCUGGGAUGGACUCGCGGCCUAUCAGCUUGUGGUGAGGUAAUGGCUCACCAAGGCGACGACGGGUAGCCGGCCUGAGAGGGCGACCGGCCACACUGGGACUGAGACACGGCCCAGACUCCUACGGGAGGCAGCAGUGGGGAAUAUUGCACAAUGGGCGAAAGCCUGAUGCAGCAACGCCGCGUGAGGGAUGACGGCCUUCGGUUGUAACCUCUUCAGUAGGAAGAAGCGAAAGUGACGGUACCUACACGAAGAAGACGACCGCUAACUAACGUGCCAGCAGCCGCGUAACG